RNAcentral lists this unclassified non-coding RNA (145 nucleotides) under soil metagenome. RNAcentral's name for it is "partial internal transcribed spacer 1". The record is from RNAcentral.
UAAUAAGUGUUUUAUGGCACUUUUUAAAUCCAUAUCCACCUUGUGUGCAAUGUCAGUCGAUCUUCUUCAUGGAGAUCGACUAAACAUCAACCUUUAUCUUUUAACUCUUUGUCUGAAAAAUAUUAUGAAUAAACAAUUCAAAAUA